CCUACGGGAGGCAGCAGUGAGGAAUAUUGGUCAAUGGACGAGAGUCUGAACCAGCCAAGUAGCGUGAAGGAUGACUGCCCUAUGGGUUGUAAACUUCUUUUAUAAAGGAAUAAAACGAGGCACGUGUGCCUUUUUGCAUGUACUUUAUGAAUAAGGAUCGGCUAACUCCGUGCCAGCAGCCGCGGUAAUACGGAGGAUCCGAGCGUUAUCCGGAUUUAUUGGGUUUAAAGGGAGCGUAGAUGGGUUGUUAAGUCAGUUGUGAAAGUUUGCGGCUCAACCGUAAAAUUGCAAUUGAUACUGGCAGUCUUGAGUACAGUUGAGGUAGGCGGAAUUCGUGGUGUAGCGGUGAAAGGCUUAGAUAUCACGAAGAACCCCGAUUGCGAAGGCAGCUUACUAAACUGUGACUGACAUUGAUGCUCGAAAGUGUGGGUAUCAAACAGGAUUAGAUACCCUUGUAGUC
Molecule: ribosomal RNA, 460 nt
Filed under: uncultured bacterium
Lineage: Bacteria
Description: partial 16S ribosomal RNA
Rfam family: Bacterial small subunit ribosomal RNA
Source: RNAcentral